Molecule: ribosomal RNA, 498 nt
Filed under: uncultured bacterium
Lineage: Bacteria
Description: partial 16S ribosomal RNA
Rfam family: Bacterial small subunit ribosomal RNA
Source: RNAcentral
AUUGAACGCUGGCGGCAUGCCUUACACAUGCAAGUCGAACGGUAACAGGUCUUCGGAUGCUGACGAGUGGCGAACGGGUGAGUAAUACAUCGGAACGUGCCUAGUAGUGGGGGAUAACUACUCGAAAGAGUGGCUAAUACCGCAUGAGAUCUACGGAUGAAAGCAGGGGAUCGCAAGACCUUGUGCUACUAGAGCGGCCGAUGGAAGAUUAGGUAGUUGGUGGGAUGAAAGCUUACCAAGCCGACGAUCUGUAGCUGGUCUGAGAGGACGAUCAGCCACACUGGGACUGAGACACGGCCCAGACUCCUACGGGAGGCAGCAGUGGGGAAUUUUGGGCAAUGGGCGCAAGCCUGAUCCAGCAAUGCCGCGUGCAGGAUGAAGGCCUUCGGGUUGUAAACUGCUUUUGUACGGAACGAAAAGCCCCGGGUUAAUACCCUGGGGUCAUGACGGUACCGUAAGAAUAAGCACCGGCUAACUACGUGCCAGCAGCCGCCGUAA